CCUACGGGAGGCAGCAGUGGGGAAUAUUGGACAAUGGGCGAAAGCCUGAUCCAGCAAUGCCGCGUGAGUGAUGAAGGCCUUAGGGUUGUAAAGCUCUUUUACCAGGGAUGAUAAUGACAGUACCUGGAGAAUAAGCUCCGGCUAACUCCGUGCCAGCAGCCGCGGUAAUACGGAGGGAGCUAGCGUUGUUCGGAAUUACUGGGCGUAAAGCGCACGUAGGCGGCUAUUCAAGUCAGAGGUGAAAGCCCAGGGCUCAACCCUGGAACUGCCUUUGAAACUAGAUAGCUAGAAUCUUGGAGAGGUCAGUGGAAUUCCGAGUGUAGAGGUGAAAUUCGUAGAUAUUCGGAAGAACACCAGUGGCGAAGGCGACUGACUGGACAAGUAUUGACGCUGAGGUGCGAAAGCGUGGGGAGCAAACAGGAUUAGAUACCCGUGGUAGUCCACGCCGUAAACGAUGAUAACUAGCUGUCCGGGCACGUUGGUGUUUAGGGUCGGCGCGAGCGUACGACAUUAAGUUAAUUACCGUCCGUGGGAGGUACGGUCGGCGAGAAUUAAACUACAACGAAGUUAGACGGCGNGAGACGUGCCGACGGACGACGACGAGGGAGGUAGG
This 613-nucleotide ribosomal RNA is filed under the name uncultured bacterium. RNAcentral's name for it is "bacterial SSU rRNA". The stretch from base 1 to 524 matches the Rfam family "Bacterial small subunit ribosomal RNA", at positions 338 to 873 of the family's 1533-position model. The record is from RNAcentral.